UUCUUCGCAUUCUCGUCGCUCCACAGGUCGCUUUCAUCGGCACUGUAGCAUGCAGGAUAAUUGCAGAUGGAUGCCACCUCCGAUUACUGUAGUUUUCCUGCGCUUCUGUUUUCUAGCCAGGAGGCAGUCGUGCGUCGAGCUGGGCCACUGUCAGCGAAGAGGUUGUUGCUUAGGGCCGUGUAGCGUGCCGUCGGCGGAUGCGCUGUCUGGAGGGGGCGCAUGCGCGGUGACGCGUAGCCCGCGAGCUGUCCCAUCGAAAUUUCCGGAGCGCGUGCGCCGGCAGUUUUCAAGUCGGUAACUCAGGUUCUGGUGUCUUCUUCUGGUUGCUAUUUAUGAGCAUGAUGUCUGCGUCGCUGCGGUCCAUCAACGUCGAGGCCACUGCUGGUGGCGGCUACCGGUCGAACUACAUCUCGCUCGAGGCGUGGCGCUGGUCGUAAGAGGAAUCGAAGCGGAGGAGAAGCUCAGCGGCACGGUGGUCGGCCCUGUGGUGUAAAUCAAUGGUGGCAUCGUCCCUCCUCCCGGUGGUCCGUUCGCUCCACGAGAUUUCCCCCGCCGGCCGGCCCCGCUCCUUAAGAUCACGCCGCCGGCCGCCUCUCCCCGAGCGGCGCCACCGGUUUGACUCAUCGGACAGGCAUGCCGGUUUGACUCAUCGGACAUGCAUGCCGAUUUGACUCAUCGGACCGUGCCGCCGCUCCCCGAGGCUUCUGUGGCGAUGGCGACGGCCGCUUGCGCCCUGCUUCCCUGUCGCUGCGCGUCUCUCCUGCCUCCCUCCGUCGCGCGCCAGUGCCCGCGUCCCUGCCAGCGCUCCCGCCUCGCUGUCGUCGCCUACCCAGGCGCCGUUCCUCGCCCCUCCUGCACCAUCGACAUCUCCACGCGCUCUCUUUGUUUGGCACGAUGUGGCCAUCUCCCGGGAAGCCUGCGUGCGCGGCGGCAGCUUAUGGCUCCGUGGAUCACGCCCGCUUCCUGUUCGACGAAACUGUACGGCGGUGGAUUUUGCAAUUCUGGUUGGCUUCGAGAGGAAUUACUAAUCCUUCUGAUGACCUGCAUGUUCUUGAACUUUUGACUCUUCUGCUUCUACCAGUUUCUAUUUCUAAUCUGCGAGGGGGGCUUCAACAACAGCCUCGCUCCUUCUCAACACCGCAGCCGCGACCCUUUCCCGGAUCCAUCGUGUCCCUCGGAUCGACUCAGGGUCUGCUCAUGCACUUCACCGUGGCGGUCAGUAGCAGACCACGGGGGCGACCACAAAAGCAGCAAAGCCCCAUGCCCAAGUGUCACGCCUUUGUCUUGAAGGUCAUUACUGCUCCGUCUGCUUGCAUGCAUCUAGCUCACAUCUCCAAACCCUCAUCGCCUGCGCUGGAAGAUUUAUUGACGGGGUCACUAAUUUAUUUGCAGCAUGCAUAAAAUAUGUUAUUAUUUUGGUGAUCAAAAUGAAGGGUCACUUUACUGUUGGUGCAAAGGCGAGACGGACAUGGGAAAGGGAGGUGGGUGCCGCAUAGAGGAGGGAGGCCACAACGACGGCCAGGAAAGCGGUUCGGCGGCGGAGAGAGGCGCCCCAGAGACAGAGUCGAUCCGACAGAGGAGGGGAUGAAAGUGCAGGUCGCUAAGAGGCCGAGAAAACCAACCACGCUUCCAUGAAGCGCUGAGGAGCCAGAGGAGCAUUAUAACUCUUCCAGAUGGCAUAAAGCAUAGUACUCCUUCCGUUUCAUAAAGAUUGGCACGAAUUUGAACUAUAACAAUUUAAAUCCGUGUCAAUUUUUAUGAAACGGAGGGAGUAUUAUUUAUCUGGUAUAGCAGACUUAACUGUGUAUACUGGCUGGUAAUAAUAUUUAUGCUUUAUGCCAUCUAGCAUAUUGUUACCGUAAAUUGUUUCCAUGUAAACAAACCUAAUUUUUUAUAUGUAUGAAUCUAACCACUGAACUUGACAAA
Brachypodium distachyon (stiff brome) is the source of this 1926-nucleotide long non-coding RNA. RefSeq lists it as uncharacterized. The transcript is spliced from 2 exons. The record is from RefSeq and is a predicted model, not a curated record. Lineage: Eukaryota; Viridiplantae; Streptophyta; Magnoliopsida; Poales; Poaceae.